AAGGUACUUACGGCUUGUAUUGGAUGAGUUAAGUAUAAACCCCUUAACAAGUAUCAAUUGGAGGGCAAGUCUGGUGCCAGCAGCCGCGGUAAUUCCAGCUCCAAUAGCGUAUAUUAAAGUUGUUGCAGUUAAAAAGCUCGUAGUUAAUCUUCUGUUAAUUUUUAUAUAUAAUAUUUCGGUAUUUAUAUAAUAUUAACAUAAUUCAUAUUACUUUUUAGUAUAUGAAACUUUACUUUGAGAAAAUUAGAGUGCUUAAAGCAGGCUAUUGCCUUGAAUACUCCAGCAUGGAAUAAUAUUAAGGAUUUUUAUUCUUCUUAUUGGUUCUAGAAUAAAAAUGAUGAUUAAUAGGAACAGUUGGGGGCAUUUGUAUUUAACAGUCAGAGGUGAAAUUCUUAGAUUUGUUAAAGACAAACUACUGCGAAAGCAUUUGCCAAGGAUGUUUUCAUUAAUCAAGAACGAAAGUUAGGGGAUCGAAGACGAUCAGAUACCGUCGUAGUCUUAACCAUAAACUAUGCCAACUAGAGAUUGGAGGUUCUUUAAAACCCCUUAAAAACCUCGCCCGGCCCCCAGCUAAAAAAAAAACGAGAGGGGGCGGGAGAAGGGAGACGAGAAUGA
Molecule: ribosomal RNA, 615 nt
Filed under: Cryptosporidium xiaoi
Lineage: Eukaryota; Apicomplexa; Conoidasida; Eucoccidiorida; Cryptosporidiidae
Description: partial small subunit ribosomal RNA
Rfam family: Eukaryotic small subunit ribosomal RNA
Source: RNAcentral